ACAAUCUUCACCAAAUUACUUGAAAAUGCUACAUUUAAAUCCUUAAUCUGCUGUUCAACAUCCUCUUCCCAAACUUGAUUCCUAACAAUCCUACUCACCCUCAAACCAAUCUUUUCCACAGAAUUAUCUACAGAUCCUGUCGCAAAAAGUGCUUUCAUCUUCUCCAGAUCACUCCUUAAUCCUUCUUUCUCAAAUUUCUCCACUACUUUGUCCCGUGCACCCUUUGACACACCAUAACCUUUUUUCUUCAUGGUUUCAACUAAAGCCCAAAAUUGCUCAACGGGCCCAUUAACACCCAGAAUUCCCAGCAUCAAAUUAUAAGCUCUGGAGCUCAAUCUUUCACUGUCCUUCUCCAAAACCCAAUCGAAAAACCUUUGAGCCACAUCAGGGCUAGACUCGAGGGACUUCAAGACUUUCAAUACCAAUUCAUGGUUAAUAACAACACUGUUUAACUCCAAUUCUUUGGUAAUAUCAUUGAUAUCAGUAAAUUUAGUGAAAAUAUC
This 503-nucleotide unclassified non-coding RNA is filed under the name Hevea brasiliensis (rubber tree). Lineage: Eukaryota; Viridiplantae; Streptophyta; Magnoliopsida; Malpighiales; Euphorbiaceae. The record is from RNAcentral.